UACGUAGGGUGCGAGCGUUGUCCGGAAUUAUUGGGCGUAAAGCGCGCGCAGGUGGUUUCUUCAGUCUGAUGUGAAAGCCCACGGCUCAACCGUGGAGGGUCAUUGGAAACUGGGAGACUUGAGUGCAGAAGAGGAAAGUGGAAUUCCAUGUGUAGCGGUGAAAUGCGUAGAGAUAUGGAGGAACACGAGUGGCGAAGGCGACUUUCUGGUCUGUAACUGACACUGAGGCGCGAAAGCGUGGGGAGCAAGCAGG
Molecule: ribosomal RNA, 253 nt
Filed under: uncultured bacterium
Lineage: Bacteria
Description: partial 16S ribosomal RNA
Rfam family: Bacterial small subunit ribosomal RNA
Source: RNAcentral